This 9910-nucleotide long non-coding RNA is filed under the name Daphnia magna. RNAcentral's name for it is "uncharacterized LOC116918949, transcript variant X34". Lineage: Eukaryota; Metazoa; Arthropoda; Branchiopoda; Diplostraca; Daphniidae. The record is from RNAcentral.
CUAUGGCAACAGUCGUUUUCGCCAGCGGGUUCGUUUUGUUCGAUGUGGUUCAGAAGAGGCUUCCUUUGAUGACACGUCACAACUGCUAUUGGCCAAACGACGUCAUUUUCUUGCUUCGCAAACUCAAGUGCACGUCAGAGAAACUCGUGGUCGAAUCAUCGAUUCUCAUUAGCCAGACUUAAGGCCAUUUGUCAGUGUCUUUCCUCUUCUUUCGUCUUGUUGAUGAUGGCCUUCCAUCGGAUGUCGACCUGGCUGCAUUUCCUUACGUCAGUUAUCCUCCAACGGACCAAAAAAAAAAAUACAGGCAGUGUGAUGCAACAGACAUAGAAUACGGAGGGACAAGUACAACUUUGCACAGACUGCCGUUCCAUACCGACCAGAGUUCCCUACAGUUUACUCACGGUGAUUGAAAAGUUAGAAGAUUGUGUGACUGUCCCAGUGUUAAAUGUGAAGUACGCUACAUGUUGUGUACACGCCUUCCACAUGGUAUACGUGUACAUCAGAUAGGACCGAUUCACGGCCUCUUGAAUUCUCGUUUCCCACCUCAAAAGGAGCUGACGUGAUACACAACAAGAGAGGUCGGUUGAUUUGGCCAAGAGGAUUGGCGCUUUGAUUGCGAUGAUGAGAACAGAGUUUGAAAAAAGUAGGUGAAGUAGGGGAUGUAAACAACAAUCGGAAAAAUUGACUGUACAAGGUUGGCUGCUCUUCAAGACAACCAUUUCGAUUCAGCUGUAUAUAAAUGUGGAGAAAGAAAAGAAACUUGACGAUGUUGAUGAAAGAAAAUAUUUCUAGUUGCUGCUGGCCACUGUUAUACCGAAGUUCGAUGUCAUCGCCUAUUCAAAUCUCUCACCUGCGCUACCCCAUUUUUUUUUUUUCCUCAGCCCCUCUGUCCUCUUCUUGACUGUUCAUUCUUAUCUUCUUCUUUUCUUAUUGUGUCCGAUAAGGUAUUCCCUCUUCCCUCAUCGUUGGUAUAAUCAUUUUCUUCUGUAAUGUCAGUCGCAGGAAUGGCAUCGAAGCAGCCCAUCCGCACGGCCGCUUAGUUUUCUCGCUACUUUGGAUGUAUAAUAGACACGAGGAGGUGGUAGAAUGACCGUCAUGUCGGAGCGCCUCAUCAUCAUCACGAUUGCACGAGGUGGCUGCAACCGUUGAUGCUGCAACAGCAGCUGAUGGUGCUUGCUCCCUUUAUGGAUUUUUUCCCCCCUCUUUUCAUCUUGUCCGUCUCCAUUUUCAUCCAUUUCCUGAACGUUGGUGGGGGGGUAAAAACGGAAUAGAAGCAAACAAACCAGAAGGAAUCAUGUGGCUGCUGCUGCCGGGCCGCCCUUAAAAGUAUCGCGUUUCUCAACUGUGCAUUGCAGGAGCGGCAGUCAAACCCAAAGCUCCUGGCCGUGUUGAUUUCUGGAUGAAGGCGUCGCUGUGCUGCUUUAUGCCAGCGGUCAGAGUAAUGCUUUAUCCUAAAAAACAGUAAACGCAACGGACGAAAGAGCGGCCGUUUUGAGUGAAAGUAAACGAUUGGAAAACAGGAAAACAAACCCCUCCCUCAAAGAAAUCCGUGUAUUGAUUGUGUAAAUAGUGGGAAGCGGCUCGUGUGAUGGCUGAAGAAAGAAAAAAAAACACAUACAUCGAGCAGAAGAACUAGAAAAAAAGGAAGAAAUAGUAUAUAUAGGCUACAGCUAAUAAUAAUAAUAAUGAUGGCGAUGAUAAAAAGAAAAGAAGGGGGUCGAGACGUGGACGAAUAAAUAAAAGAACGAAACGGAAAGAAAAAGAAGAAAUAAAGUGUUUAUAGUCGGUCGAAGAGGAAAUAAUAAGUGGUUAGCCAACGAGGACGGCCGAGAGAGAGAGAGAACGAACGAAACACGCGCGAUUUCAGCUUCGCUCCAAACGUUUGAUUGACCGGAGCAAAUGGCUUGAACAUAUAUAAUACACGGUCAUCCAUCGUGCGAAGGGUUUAUUUAUUUAUUUCUUUUUUCUUUUCUUUUAAUCGGCAUCGUUCUCUGUAAUAUUACAACGUUUCAGUUGCUUCUCUCUGAAUUCGUUUCUUGAGCUUAUUUAUGUUUGACAUUGAAUUUUUCUUAUAACUAAGUAGGGCUGUAUGAAUUUAGCUAAUAAAGGGACACAAUAAUAAUGUUUUUAACAAGUUUUGGCAAUUACCGCAAACGGUAAACGCUUAGAUGUAGAGGUGAACGCGGGAUAGAUGCAACAAACUCAACGAAUGACCGACAACGUUCCCCAAUCACCCAACAGGAUGGUAUAUGAGUAGACUAAGAAAAAUAGCAGAAGAAAUAAAAGUCUACACGUACACAAAACAGAGACAUAAGUGAGAAGAAAAAGGAAACCUCAAAAGUUGAUGGUGAAAACACGCGGUGGAUUGUACCGUCCGAAAGCAGAAAAACAAAACAAUAAAACAUGCGGCUGUUUGCUGUCCGCGUAUAACAAGUGCCCGCCAGUGCAUCGAUAAAAAUAGUCUACUGAAAAGAAAGGAAAAGAAUAGAAAAGUGCCCACACACAUCAGUUAUGUAAUACAACAACACAUAUUGUAUAUACUAUACACCAUAGAGAUGUGUACAGUAUAUUUGAAACUUGAAAACUCACCAACCGUCUCGAAAGCCUCAAAGCGAAGCAAAAAGGAAGGCGAGACAAAUAAAAACAAGCUCAAAAGAAGAAGACAAACGACAAUAACCCAACAAAAACAAAAUAAAGGAAAACAAAGUAGUCUUUUCUUUACCAACACACAACAAGGAAGAAAAGCAAAACUCAAUUCAAACAACAACAAAAAUGAAAGGGCGACCGUGCCUGGAACGGACUUUGAACGGAAGUCAUUUUCGCUUAUAUGCCAGGUGAGCUGCGCGCGCGGAGACUGUGAAAUAUUGUUACAGGUAACAGACAAGUAAGUAUACAGGCCGAACACGGACCUUCGGUCGGCUCGAACAAUUCUCUCUCCGCCCUCUUCCUAUCCACUUUCCUGCCAACACACACAAACACAUUUAACAUGCGUGCUUCAAAUCUUUUCCUGAUUCUGUUUUUCUUUUCAAAGAGCUUUCUCGUGUGUGUAUCCCACCUGACGUCCACACUCAUGACGCCAAUGUCUGUAUUGACUUUAUAAAUUUAUUCCGCCCGCACGCUCGCUGCUCCGCUGAUGAAUAAUGUGUUUUUUUUUAAAUGAAGGUGCCAUAGGAUAUGAUGAAACUGAUACCACUUUGUGUUUUGUUUUUUUUUUGUCGUCAAAAAGGUUUGCAAGAAACGCUUCGUUGAUCACCACACCCCAAGGUGUGUACCGACACGUGUCUUUAAUGAAGGACAUUAGGGAAAACGAGAUUUUGGUAACCCUUACCCCGAUUUCUAUACCUUUUUUCCCAAACUCUUUUUUUUUCAGAGGGUUUAGUGUGGAAGUAAAUUGCGUUUCACUUCUCCUGAAUUUUGAAAAGGAAGGGUACGAAAUGGAAGACACAUUCCAUUUGCUUCUUCUGCAUUUUCCCACUGUUUUCCAUAAUUUUCUUUGUUGCUAAGGUCUUGACCAAGGCAGUUGUCGUCUGGAUCUCGUUCAGACAUGAAACGUUUGUCCCUUUUUACCUGUGCAUGUGUGUGUGAUUGUUACGUCGUGUCAGCGUGGACGUGUCCAGACCAAUUGAUCGCAACCUUUACUUACCUGUCCUGCCCUUAGCUGUCCUGCCUUACCUGCAAUUAGAAAAAAGGAGGAUAUACAUUUUUUUCCUGAUUAUAUCGUUCAAGAAAAUCAGUUGCAUACACAUAGAAAACUUUAGAAAAAGUUGUAUAGAAAAGUUUUCAAUGGUGUGGUAUUUACUAGUGCUCUACCAACCGUCAUUAUAUGAACGCAAACAAGGACCAAACUCCAUUUCCAUCUCGGCAUCAAAAGUUUGAAUUUCAAGAGAAGCAGAAAAGGCUGAUUAAUAAGAGCCAGACAUAAAAAAUAAAAACAGAUCGUGAGUCCUACAACAACAACAAGUUUGCCUAGAAUUUGCGUACAACAAAUGAUUACCAUAAAGCAACACAACGGAUAGCCGCCAUCAUCUCCAACCUCACGAUCACAUUCGUGCAACAUCGAGCGCAAUUUUCUCCCGAAAGUGAUGAAUUCAGCUUGUCUUUGAAACUUGAGAAAAGAAGGGGUGCUUCUGUUGCUCUCUGAGUUAUAUUCCCUGUCCCCCCCACCCUUCUUUUUUCUACAUGGGUGAUUUCCUUCAUGUUAUAUAGGUCUAUAUAUAUACGUAGUAUGUAGUCAAGCAGUCAACCGAGAAUGCAAAACAAGCCACGACAAGGUGAUCCUUUCCUGCUUUUCAGUCCUUUUUUAAAUUGAAAAUUCAUGGCAUCGCGUGAGUGGAGGCCUCCAAAAGCCCAUGCGACUGUAAAAAAAGGAAAUAAACUCUCUCGAAAAAGAAAAAAAAAGGAGCGAGUAAUAUAAAAAACUGAAGAACGACUGAAUCUCAAGUCUAUAGCUGAAUAUAAUGCUAGCCAGCACCCUUCAUGUAUUACGUAACACGUUCUCCCCCAGACAAAAACACGAAUUUCUCGGGAGAUGUCUGAUCUUUUAGUUCCUUUCCCUCACGACCCGCCAAUCACGCAGUGAUCUGAUCCUGUCCAGCCAGCCACCAAAAACAACUACACAAAAACGCCCCAUGUGCGUGAUGGAAGAACAAGUGGGCGGAAUAAGCUCCGAAACGGAGAGAAACUAACCCGUCUCAUCUUUUCGACAGGAGUUUAGAUGCCGGCCUUACACUGGCCCGUCGCCAAAGUGAUGGUUAAAUGGCCGGAAAACCGGUCGGCAGAAACUGAUUAUUAAAAAAAAAACGUAUAUACAGUCUAUAUACUUUAAAUAGGUAAACGAGAAUUUCUCGCCCAGUUAGAAAGUACAUCACCCAAGAUUGCAAUAACUUUUACUUUGCAUCGUCUUUCGCUCUCUGUGCUUAUUAAAUGUGGUUGCCCGUUCCAGAUUGGGCGUCUAAAUUGGGUAUGGCUGAAAACUCGUGUGCCAUGUAACCGGCCUGUUUCUCUUGUUUCCUUCCAUUGUAUAGCCACUAAUGUUACAUUCGAACCCGAAUUUUCAACAAUAUUUUUCCUUUCUCCCCAACACUCCACGAGUCCACAUGUGCCGUUUCGAAACGAUUGACGUCUCUCCUGCUGUUGUUAAUUCUAUCCCCCUCAUUCUUCAACUCGACAGAGUGUUUCACACCCACCACGCCUACUUUGUCAAAUGUUCCAUACCAUUUUCUUGUGCUUCAACAAAAAAUCUAUCAUUCUCUGAUUCAUUUUCUCUUUUGUGUUUCUUCUAUUUUUGUGUUAUGGGUUGGAUGAAAAAUCUGGUCAAAUUGCAGACGAAAUCGAACUAUUCUUUUGACUUUUGCAAUUCACAUUUUUGCUCGACUAGGUGUCACCACAUGUGGUACGCAGUAGGUUAAUGCACCUAGACCUAUCGUAUUGUUAUAACGAAAUGGUUUCGUCUAUGCUGGGCGCUAUUUAUGGCUUAUUCAUUUUGUAUAGGAUAGAGGAGAAAAAUUCAUGGAGAAAAUUUGUCAACGCUCCAUGUCCCUUCUUUUUCUCUCUUAAAAAAUCUGUUGGAAGUUGUUGGAGCAAUGUGGCAUGGGGUUCUCUGCUGGAUACAUAAUCAAUCUCUUUACUCCACAGAGCCGGACGCUGAGUAAUUUUAAGAAAUUGAGCCAAUGACGUGAUCAAGAAGAAGAAACAAAAAAUUAUAAAAGAGAAACGUUAAAUCUCUUUCACAAACAGCCACAAACGUCUCAUUUCCAUAAGCUUUGGCGAGAGUUUAUCAAGUUGAAAGCUUUUUUCAUUUUCGUAUUACAUAGUACUCACACAGACAAGGCCGUUAGAGCAAGACUUAAAUUGCUGCACGCAGCAGGAGGUCCGUUUGAUUUUUCCAACGUCAAGAAUAAAAAAAAAGAUGAAACAAGAACCAGAUGUUUUUCGUUCUUUUUUUAAAUCUUCAUCACAUAUCUCCAUUUUUUUUUCCUUUUUCUUGUUACUAGUACUACCACAAUUAGACACUGGCUGACUUCAUUACAUGUUUUGCCAGAGCUCAUUUGGAGGGGAGAAUUUCAUCGCUGGUCUGAAAGUUUCUCAAGAGACUCUAUGAUGAAAAGAAAAAGUUUGGGUGUUUUGGGCCGAAAAGAAAAGGGUGGCUUCUGUAAUAAAGCGCCACCAUGGAGAUCCGGCGUUGUCCUUCAGCACAGCGUUGACUUUUUUUGUUUAUCUGAAUCUGGGCAACAUACAAAUAAAAUAUGGUGAAGUGAUUGAUUUAAUCUCCUUUCACCCAUUUGAAAAGAAAAAAAAAUCUAAUUGUUUAAAGUCAUUAGCAAAUCUUAUGUAAAUUCUUUACCAGUAGGAGAGGUUGCCAAUUUUUCUACAUUUCAUCACCCCUUCUCCACAUUUUCUUUUUAGAUUAGCAUGUUUUUCUUUUUGUUCGAUUCGACAGUGUUUCUAAAGAGGGGGGGACUACCUUUCUCAAGGUUAGUAGGUCAGUGUCUUUGCUUGUUCUGCGUUGUUCAGUUGAUUUCUCGAUUGCAUAGUGACAGGCCAUAUUUUUUCCCCCUCGUCUCGUGCAUUCAUCGACAGUGUACAACGUGGCCUUAACACACCAACAAUAGUUAAACAGUGAAAACAAACUUGUUUCCAACAAAAGGCCAACACUUCAUCCAUGGCUGCGAGAGUCUCCAGGAAGCUGUUGCUUGCUGUUUACCUGAUGGAAACAAUAAUCUUAUUAAAGGUGCGUGUUGUGAUGACGCUGGCGACGUUGCGGGAAUUUCGCUGCGCGCCUGGCGGGGGCUUUGCAUCCUCUGCUGCGCGUCACUAAGAAAUAGCAGUCCGGUUUUUUCACCUCUAUGCAUCUUAGGAGUACGUCAGAUUACACGGAAAUCUGUCGCCACGACACCCCUGAAAUAGCUCGGGACUCCCGCCGAGCCAAAGAAGUUGUGUCAUUGGAACCCCCUGGCAACAACAACAGCAACAACAUUGGCCACAACACACAUAAACGUGCCACAUAGAAACAGGAAAGAAGAAGACGAUCGCAACUUUGUGGAAGGACGGCUAAAACGGUUGUCGAUCUUCACGAACAGGCCAUCAAUUUUGCACAGUAAAAAUCAAUUGUCUGUAACUGGUGUACUGACAUUUGACUAAACUGGUUUUAAGGAGAUAAUAAAAGAUAAAAUCUUGUCCUUGGCCGUGAUUAAUUCUUGGAAGUAAUCUCAGGGAAAUUACAGUGGAACUCGUGAUUUAUGAUGCUGGUCCUUGUAAAAGAUUGGGCAUUGCGGAUUUUGUGCCCAAAAUGGAAGCGAUGAUUGGAAAAAAAGCUACUCCAACUGAAUAUAUCAAAGACUUUUUAAUAAGAAGCGUCAUCCCUAUAUUUAAAUUGGCGCACAUUUAGGAUAUGUCAACCGAAUUUCAAAGAACGGCUAAAGUUUUCUGAAUGUAACUGGGUAAAAGGUCCCUCUUUUCCCAGGGCAAGCAUCUUCAUCAUCAACUGCCGACAUGUUUAGAAAGAAAAAAAAUCAAACGAAAGAACUCGCUAACAGAUCAUCCUUCUCCGGGAUUGUAAAUGGUGGUUGAACGAUGGAGCAGAGGAAAAAGAAAUAGUCAGGCGGGAAAUUCGAAAAUGUAUUUCAAGACGUCACCCUUUGCCCCAAAAUCUCUCUGCAUUCUCGUCGGGAAGAAGCACAAAUGCUUGACACAGGUAUGCUUUGUAAGAUCUCCAUAGAAAAAAGAAAAAUUUAAAAACGAAAUUCAAGACGAGACAUUUGACCGUUCAAGCUUCAAGUACCUCAAACACAUGCGUUGCAUACAUGCGCUGUGCCAUUCGAGCCUUGUGUUUGUAUUGCGUAGUGUCAAGUGUCGAGACGAAAAAAGAAGAAAAAUCCAAGUUGAUUAAAAAAACUACCACUCAACCUGUCUCACAAUCCUCGUCUUCUUUUCUCCGAGGGAUAUGAAGAAGAGUGAGUGUAGCGAAUGAAACGGUGGCUGGUAAAACCUACUCCAUCUCAUGCUGCGUUUAUGUGAUACACUGAUACAGCACUAUUACUAAAAGCACUAAAGUACAUUCUGAGCCUCGAUCUCCUAUUCUCGUAUUGUUUAGUUUUUCUUCGGGUGGCACUGAAGUUUUGGCAGCUGUGCAUCAACGUGAAGUUUCUACCGCGCUCCCCCUCUCUCUCUUUUCUCGCUCCAUCUAAAUUAACAUUUUUCUUCUUUAUGCACGUCUCUUUCGUUGAAUUGAACUUAUUUCAGCAAUGUAUUUUUUAUUUUCCUUGUACUUCCCAGCGGCUUUUCUUAUGCUAACUAUUGAUAUGUCUUAACAGGCUUGUGCUAUAAGAAAGGAAACUACGAAGACCAGGCGCGUGCUCUCAGGAAGGAAAUGGGCCAGCACGAAAUUCGAAUUGGAUGCGUUAUCGCCCCUGGUAUGUAACAACCAAUCACGAUCUGUUUUAAUUCUUUAGAGCUAUACAUGUUUUCAAUUUAUUUUUGUUUUCCUUUCACCUUCGAUUGUUGGUAUCCUUCCUCCAGUUCUUUGUAGAUCCUGAGAAUCGAUGAAACGUUCCCGAUAAAGAACGGUUAAAAAACACAUUCCUUUUUCUUCUUGUUAAAAAUGUUGCCAUGUAAAUUCUAUAUUAUGCCUAUCUUGGCAUAGACACUGCGGCUGUUUUUCACUUUCGUUGUCGUCUGUGACGCCAACAGCGUAGAAUUUACUUCCUACUCUUCCUUUUGUCUUUUCAUCGUAGAAAGCUAUGUGCUUAUUUCACCUCAGUUGUAAACGGGAUAGCCUAAUAUGUCGGUUGCUCAUUACAGUGCAAUCAAGAGCAAAGCGUCGUAGCUCGUUGCCAUUUGACGUAUCCUCUUUGAUCGAAAGAAAUUGUUGGUGUCAACGCCAGAGUUUGUCAAGAAGGCAAGUGGGAAGUACGGAAUCGAUUUCUACGAGGAAAUAUGGAAAGUGGGGUUCGCUCUUUAAAAGCUAGAGAGGGAAGUCAAAAGACAGCGGAACAAUUAUUAAUCGUGUUGUAGGGAAAUGUGGGCGGUUUCUUUUGGCGAAGGUCGGUGAUAAUCCAAGUCUUUUUGGGAAACUUUAGUGCACAGGCUUCGCUGGCGCGGUGGUGUCUGUUCGGGCCAUUAGCUCGUAAUGACGAGCACAUUAGGACAAUGUCUGGCGUGUCACGCGGAUGGAACUCAAUAACGUUUCAGCCAGUCCCUCCUCUUGCCUUUUUCAUGCUAUCCCUAUAAAUCACGCGGUAAGAGAGCGUCAGCCCAGCAACUGCAAAAGGGGAAAAAAGAUGGAAUGUAAGAAGGGUAUUUAAUGAGUCUUAAAGUGAGCACUGAUGAGAAAGAAUAUUCCGUAAUUUAUUUUGAAAAAAACGUUUUCUGCGUUUGGGUCUGAGUACUUUUCUCAUUUUGCGUGUUGUUCUACAAUUAUCCGUGUUAUUUAAACAAGCUUAUAUUGAACGGUUCGUGAGAUAGGGCCUCAAAUGCUGCGUACAGAAAUCUCACACGUCACAAGCCCGUAAAUAUACUCAUAUUCAUAUGCGCUUUCUCUUCCAUUUUAGAAAAAAAAAUAAAAAUAUAGUGGAUUUUCAAAAACAUGAAAUGACUCAUUUCAUGUUUUUAAUAACAAAAUAGUCAUUUGAAAUGACUAUUUUGGGGGGGCUUGGAAAUGGGAGUUAUUUCUUUUCAAAUGGCAACGCUGCAUUUGUCGUCUGCAGUGCGUCCUGUCAUUGAAUUCUGCCACGUAUUUCCCCGUUAGGACAGAUAACCCCUGACAGAUCGUUGAUAUCACACAUAAAAGAUUUAAAGAAAAUGAUUACGGAUAUUCAGUUGGCCAUCUUUUCGAACGUUUUAGGAGUGUCACUCUUCCUGAUGGUGAUACUCUAUCACUAUAUCUCCGCUAAUAAUCCUAAAUCUGCAUCUU